ACUCAAAUGAAUUGACGGGAGAGCGCACAACCAGUGGAGCAUGUGGUUCAAUUCGAGACGAACCGAAGAACCUUACCCGGGUUUGACAUGUUAUCGUUUAGUCAACCAGAAACGGAUGAUGAUCUUUAAGAAAUUAAAGAUGAUAACACAGGUGUUGCAUGGCUGUCGUCAGCUCGUGCCGUGGGGUGUUCCCUUCAGUGGGGUAACGAGCGCAACCCCUGCUAUGUGUUGAAUAUUCACAUAGGACUUUCAAAAUUUAUUUUUGAAGGAAGUGGGGACGACGUCAAGUCAGCAUGGCCCUUAUGUCCGGGGCUACACACAUGCUACAAUGGAGCCGACAAUGGGUUGCCAAGCCGUAAGGCGGAGCUAAUCCCAUCAAACGGCUUCUCAGUGGGGAUUGAGGGCUGCAACUUGCCCUCAUGAACGCGGAAUUGGUAGUAAUCGCAGAUCAGCUAUGCUGCGGUGAAUACGUUCUCGCUCUUUGUACACACCGCCCGU
This 498-nucleotide ribosomal RNA is filed under the name uncultured bacterium. Its description in RNAcentral is "partial 16S ribosomal RNA". It matches the Rfam family "Bacterial small subunit ribosomal RNA", at positions 899 to 1397 of the family's 1533-position model. The record is from RNAcentral.